This is a non-coding RNA of Meleagris gallopavo (turkey), 143 nucleotides long. Lineage: Eukaryota; Metazoa; Chordata; Aves; Galliformes; Phasianidae. The record is from RefSeq and is a predicted model, not a curated record.
CAUGAACCCGCUGUGCUGUACAACCUCAAAGAGCGUUACGCAGCCUGGAUGAUCUACACCUACUCGGGCCUCUUCUGUGUCACUGUCAACCCCUACAAGUGGCUGCCGGUGUACAACCCGGAGGUGGUGUUGGCCUACCGAGG